GUACAACUCUCGUUCAAUUUGGUGAACGUUCCUCGAUAUUCACCAUUUUUUUUUCAAUCAUCGACCAACGACAUGUACCCGGCGGGUAUUAUUCUGUUUUUUCUGGCCGUUGGACACCCUUGCUUCUGCAAUGGAAAGGCGCCCGUGGCCGACGAUCCUAUUUUACAGCACUUUCGAUUGGACCCUGGAACAAAGUACCAAGUAUUGGGAGAGGAUUUCAUCCAACAUUUGCGUACGAGUUCAUUAUCAGAGCACUCUAGUAGCCCUCAACAGAAAGCACUAAGUAUUCAAAUUGAUAAUCAGAGAUUGAACUUUGUGCUCAACCCUUCACCUGGAAUACUAUUCACGCCCUCGACGGCGGUCUACUACGGCCGACCGAACUCUUCUAAAUCCGGUGGAGUCGAAUACGUUCGAAGUGUAGACGAAGUGUAGAUUUGGUGUACCGUUGGAUAUCAGAUGAGUGAAGAUGAAGAUGGAUCGAUUAUGGAGGUAUGUCGCCCAUAUAGAAUUUCCGCAGCACCAGGUACUCCUUGUGAACACAAAGAUGGCGGAAAAGAAGGGUUCUGUUUCUUCAACGAGUGCACGCGUUUCGCAUAAUAAAACAUCGGGAAGACCUGGAUCAACCGGACUUCAUCAUCUGUAACAGUUUUAUGUUUUAUGUCUGCGCGGUUGUAUCAGAGCGUGAUGGUCAAACACCAAAAUU
This is a long non-coding RNA of Venturia canescens, 703 nucleotides long. RefSeq lists it as uncharacterized. Lineage: Eukaryota; Metazoa; Arthropoda; Insecta; Hymenoptera; Ichneumonidae. The record is from RefSeq and is a predicted model, not a curated record. The transcript is spliced from 4 exons.